This 301-nucleotide ribosomal RNA is filed under the name uncultured bacterium. Its description in RNAcentral is "partial 16S ribosomal RNA". It matches the Rfam family "Bacterial small subunit ribosomal RNA", at positions 509 to 808 of the family's 1533-position model. The record is from RNAcentral.
CAGAGCCACGGUAAUACGGAGGGUGCAAGCGUUAAUCGGAAUUACUGGGCGUAAAGCGCACGCAGGCGGUCUGACAAGUCAGAUGUGAAAUCCCCGGGCUUAACCUGGGAACUGCAUUUGAAACUGUCAGGCUGGAGUCUUGUAGAGGGGGGUGGAAUUCCAGGUGUAGCGGUGAAAUGCGUAGAGAUCUGGAGGAAUACCGGUGGCGAAGGCGGCCCCCUGGACAAAGACUGACGCUCAGGUGCGAAAGCGUGGGGAGCAAACAGGAUUAGAUACCCCGGUAGUCCCUGUCUCUUAUACA